RNAcentral lists this ribosomal RNA (1410 nucleotides) under uncultured bacterium. RNAcentral's name for it is "16S ribosomal RNA". It matches the Rfam family "Bacterial small subunit ribosomal RNA". The record is from RNAcentral.
UAGCGGCAGAUGGGUGAGUAACGCGUGAGUAACCUACCUCUAUACCGGAGAUAGUCUUACGAAAGCGAGGGUAAUAUCCGAUGUGUCUUUAGGAAUAUAGGUUCUUAAGGACAAAGAUUCUCUGCAAAAGAGAAUUGUAUAGAGAGGGGCUCGCGCCCUAUCAGCUAGUUGGUAGGGUAAUGGCCUACCAAGGCUAUUGACGGGUAGCUGGCCUAAGAGGGUGGUCAGCCACACGGGGACUGAGACACUGCCCCGACUCCUACGGGAGGCUGCAGUCGAGGAUAUUUAGCAAUGGGGGAAACCCUGACUAUGCGACGCCGCGUGAGGGAUGAAGGUUUUCGGAUCGUAAACCUCUUUCGAUGAGAAGGAUUUGACAGUACUCAGAGAAGAAGCCACGGCCAACUCCGUGCCAGCAGCCGCGGUAAUACGGAGGUGGCAAGCGUUACUCGGAUUUAUUGGGUGUAAAGGGCAGGUAGGUGUUCUAAUAAGUUUUGGGUGAAGGCCUUUAGCUUAACUGAAGAAUUGCCCAAAAAACUGUUAGAAUUGAGGCUGGUAGAAGAGAGUGGAAUUCCCGGUGUAAGGGUGAAAUCUGUAGAGAUCGGGAGGAACUCCAGUGGCGAAGGCGACUCUCUAGUCCAGACCUGACACUGAGCUGCGAAAGCUAGGGGAGCAAACAGGAUUAGAUACCCUGGUAGUCCUAGCUGUAAACGAUGAGCACUAGGUGAUGGAAGAUUAAUCUUUCAGCGCCGUAAGAUAACUCGUUAAGUGCUCCACCUGGGGACUACGGCCGCAAGGCUAAAACUCAAAGGAAUUGACGGGGGCCUGCACAAGCGGUGGAACAUGUGGCUUAAUUCGAUGCUACGCGAAGAACCUCACCAGGGCUUGACAUGCAGGAAGUAGCGAACCGAAAGGGGAGCGACUUGUUAAACCAAGAACCUGCACAGGUGCUGCAUGGCUGUCGUCAGCUCGUGCCGUGAGGUGUUGGGUUAAGUCCCACAACGAGCGCAACCAUCGCCCUUAGUUGCCACCAGUUCUAAGGAAACUUAGAGGCUGAGCACUCUAAGGGGACCGCCUGUGAUAAACAGGAGGAAGGUGGAGAUGACGUCAAGUCCGUAUGGCCUGUAUGCCCUGGACUACACACGUGUUACAAUGCCUGCUACAAAGCGUUGCCAACCUGCGAAGGGGAGCUAAUCGCAAAAAAGUAGGCUCAGUUCAGAUUGGAGUCUGCAAUUCGACUCCAUGAAGACGGAAUCGCUAGUAAUGGCGGAUCAGCUAUGCCGCCGUGAAUACGUUCCCAGGCCUUGUACACACCGCCCGUCAAGCGAUGGGAGCGAGGAGUACCCGAAAUUCCACGUUAUGUGGACUGAAGGUAAGCUUGGUAACUGGCGCUAAGUCGUAACAAGGUAACCG